Molecule: ribosomal RNA, 386 nt
Filed under: uncultured bacterium
Lineage: Bacteria
Description: bacterial SSU rRNA
Rfam family: Bacterial small subunit ribosomal RNA
Source: RNAcentral
AAUGGGGGAAACCCUGACGCAGCAACGCCGCGUGGAGGACGAAGGUUUUCGGAUUGUAAACUCCUGUCCUCUGGGACGAAUAAUGACGGUACCAGAGGAGGAAGCCACGGCUAACUACGUGCCAGCAGCCGCGGUAAUACGUAGGUGGCAAGCGUUGUCCGGAAUUACUGGGCGUAAAGGGCGCGUAGGCGGUCUUUUAAGUCAGAUGUGAAAACCCGGGGCUCAACCUCGGACCUGCAUUUGAAACUGGGAGACUCGAGUGUCGGAGAGGAAAGCGGAAUUCCUAGUGUAGCGGUGAAAUGCGUAGAUAUUAGGAGGAACACCAGUGGCGAAGGCGGCUUUCUGGACGAUAACUGACGCUGAGGCGCGAAAGCGUGGGGAGCAAA